UGGGGAAGUAUUGCAUCAAUGGGCAGGCAAGCCAUGACUGCAGCCAUGCCGCGCUGUAUGAAGAAGGCCAAUUCGGGGCUUUGGUUAAAGAUACUUUUCAGCGAGGAGGAAGGCAUUAAGGUUAAUAACCUUAGUGAUUGACGUUACUCGCAGAAGAAGCACCGGCUAACUCCGUGCCAGCAGCCGCGGUAAUACGGAGGGUGCAAGCGUUAAUCGGAAUUACUGGGCGUAAAGCGCACGCAGGCGGUCUGUCAAGUCGGAUGUGAAAUCCCCGGGCUCAACCUGGGAACUGCAUUCGAAACUGGCAGGCUAGAGUCUUGUAGAGGG
Molecule: ribosomal RNA, 327 nt
Filed under: uncultured Enterobacteriaceae bacterium
Lineage: Bacteria; Pseudomonadati; Pseudomonadota; Gammaproteobacteria; Enterobacterales; Enterobacteriaceae
Description: bacterial SSU rRNA
Rfam family: Bacterial small subunit ribosomal RNA
Source: RNAcentral